Molecule: long non-coding RNA, 218 nt
Filed under: Lathyrus oleraceus (garden pea)
Lineage: Eukaryota; Viridiplantae; Streptophyta; Magnoliopsida; Fabales; Fabaceae
Description: Pisum sativum (pea) long non-coding RNA (PSAT_LNC015162)
Source: RNAcentral
UUGUGCAUGUGUAUAAUGAUAAGAAAAAGGAGAUUUAGAUUUGUUUUCUAUAGAAGGUUUUAUAUCAUCUUCAUCAGAGUCAUAACCAAUUCAUUUUUUUUUAUUAUGACUAACACCAUAGAUCAUAGAAGCCAUUUUGCUUCUUUCAAGUCCGUUGUUCAUAAACUUUUGAAAAGCUUUUUCAUAUUUGUAUAUGAUAGUGUCAGAAGUAGGUGGAG